AGUGAACGCUGGCGGUAGGCCUAACACAUGCAAGUCGAACGGCAGCACAGUAAGAGCUUGCUCUUACGGGUGGCGAGUGGCGGACGGGUGAGGAAUACAUCGGAAUCUACUUUUUCGUGGGGGAUAACGUAGGGAAACUUACGCUAAUACCGCAUACGAUCUACGGGUGAAAGCAGGGGAUCUUCGGACCUUGCGCGAUUGAAUGAGCCGAUGUCGGAUUAGCUAGUUGGCGGGGUAAAGGCCCACCAAGGCGACGAUACGUAGCUGGUCUGAGAGGAUGAUCAGCCACACUGGAACUGAGACACGGUCCAGACUCCUACGGGAGGCAGCAGUGGGGAAUAUUGGGCAAUGGGCGCAAGCCUGAUCCAGCCAUACCGCGUGGGUGAAGAAGGCCUUCGGGUUGUAAAGCCCUUUUGUUGGGAAAGAAAAGCAGCAGGUUAAUACCCCGCUGUUCUGACGGUACCCAAAGAAUAAGCACCGGCUAACUUCGUG
RNAcentral lists this ribosomal RNA (492 nucleotides) under uncultured bacterium. RNAcentral describes it as "partial 16S ribosomal RNA". It matches the Rfam family "Bacterial small subunit ribosomal RNA", at positions 29 to 507 of the family's 1533-position model. The record is from RNAcentral.